RNAcentral lists this ribosomal RNA (103 nucleotides) under uncultured bacterium. RNAcentral describes it as "partial 16S small subunit ribosomal RNA". It matches the Rfam family "Bacterial small subunit ribosomal RNA", at positions 335 to 437 of the family's 1533-position model. The record is from RNAcentral.
ACUCCUACGGGAGGCAGCAGUGGGGAAUUUUGCGCAAUGGGGGAAACCCUGACGCAGCAACGCCGCGUGGAGGAUGAAGUCCCUUGGGACGUAAACUCCUUCG